CUCUUCCCUAUCUGGAGAAUGGGGGUUGGGGCUGAAAUUUCCAAGCUUCUAAUCACGGCUUGGUCUUUCUGGAGAGCAGCCCUCAUCCGGGAGGCAUCCAGGAGCCCACCCAGAGAUGACUCAUUAGAACAAAAAAUACUCUU
Long non-coding RNA from Mustela erminea (ermine), 143 nucleotides. RefSeq lists it as uncharacterized. The transcript has 3 exons. The record is from RefSeq and is a predicted model, not a curated record. NCBI's taxonomy places the organism in Eukaryota, Metazoa, Chordata, Mammalia, Carnivora, Mustelidae.